CGAAGGGUCGCAAGCGUUAAUCGGUAAUUACGUGGGACGUAAAGCGCGCGUAGGUGGUUCGUUAAGUUGGAUGUGAAAGCCCCGGGCUCAACCUGGGAACUGCAUCCAAAAACUGGUCGAGCUAGAGUAUGGGCAGAGGGUGGUUGGAAUUUCCUGUGUAGCGGUAGAAAUGCGUAGAUAUAGGAAGGAACACCAGUGGCGAAGGCGACCACCUGGGCUAAUACUGACACUGAGGUGCGAAAAGCGUGGGGAGCAAACAGGAUU
RNAcentral lists this ribosomal RNA (264 nucleotides) under uncultured bacterium. RNAcentral describes it as "partial 16S ribosomal RNA". It matches the Rfam family "Bacterial small subunit ribosomal RNA", at positions 526 to 779 of the family's 1533-position model. The record is from RNAcentral.